Molecule: long non-coding RNA, 1237 nt
Filed under: Nicotiana benthamiana
Lineage: Eukaryota; Viridiplantae; Streptophyta; Magnoliopsida; Solanales; Solanaceae
Description: long non-coding RNA (NBEN_LNC014522)
Source: RNAcentral
CAAGAUUUAAGAGUUGUUAAGCCCGCAACUCUUUUAGACGAUUGUGAGCUAGACGAAGUAGGGGUUGGAAUAUUUGGCAUAGCAUGCUCUAAGGCAACUUUAUAAGCAUUAUAAACUGUUUGACCAUUAAUUUUAAUUGAUGCUUUUGCAUCUGCAAGGGUAGCAAUUUCCUCGUUUGAAUAUCUAAAGCCUUAUAAAUAUUUGAUACCAAAAAUGAGGACCCCAAUUUCAUUGUAGGAUUUAACAUUGCAGCAACACCAAAAAUAAGAGGGAUUGGGAAAAAAUAUUUUUUAAAUUUUUGUUUCAUUUAUAGCAAAUUCAUGAAUAUCCCCACCCUCGCCAAAUUCAACAAACAAAUCAGCUAGUGCGACAACAAUAUAAACUAAAUAGUUUAAAAUAGUAGGAUAAUAUUACCCAAAAAAUACAUUAGUAGAAACUUGAAAAUGUUCUAAAAAUCUAAAAGAAUUUUAACAUUCGUCCAAUCUUGGGUAGAGGAUAAUAUUGCCUAGAAAAUGCAUUUGUAGCAACUUGGAAAUGUUCUAAAAAAUCUAAAAGAAUUUUAACAUUUGUCCAAUCUUGAGUAGUAAGCAUUUCAUUAUCAUCCUCACCACCUACCCGAGAAUUAAACGUUGCAUUAAUUGGGUUUCUAUAUUCAUAUGCAACUACUAAAAUUUCGUACAUGCAAUUCCAUCUAGUCGGGCAAGGUUUAGGAACCUUUCUUUCUCAAGGCGUCAUCACAUUUUUCAAAAUACUCUCUAAGUCUAUUUCUACGGUUUGAAUAAAAAAGCCAAUUAAGAGCCAUUCGAACAUUUUCAAUUUCUAUGUUUAUCUAAGGCCAUAUUCAUCACAUUUUUUAAAAUACUCUCUAAGUCUAGUUCUACGGUUUGAAUAAAAAAUCCAAUUAAGAGUCAUUCAAACCUUUUCAAUUUCUAUGUUUAAAAUUCUCAUACUAUCACCGACAAUUAAAUGAUAAAUAUGACAAUACAUCUAACAUGAAAAAUAUUACUAAAUGCAGGAUUUAGUAUUUUUGUAAGCAUGUCUAUAGCACUAGUUUUACUACAAGCAUUAUCCAUAGAAAUUGCCAUUAUUUUAUCGCUAAAUCAAAAAUAUCUACAAAUGUAUGAAACAGUGUUAGCUAUAAACUUACAUGUGUGACGUGAAUUAAUUAUUUUACACGCAAUUAUACGUUUUUGCAUUGUCCAGUCCUCAUCUAUCCAAUGACUUGUAACAGUUAAAU